UGUUAGGUAUAUAUAUUUUACACUUCUUUCUUAUUCCAGAGAUACUAAAAGCCGAAAAAAAUACUCUUGACUCUAAAGAAUCCUAAAUGGAACUUAUUUUUGAGCAAGUUUUUGCAAAGUUUAAUAAAAAGAUAGGACGAGUUGCUUAAUAAUGCGUUAUAUUGCGAUAAUUUAUUAUCAACUUGUUCAACUGGAUACGUCAAUGGAAGAAAGAUACUAAAAGCCGAAAAAAAGACUCUUGACUCUAAAGAAUCCUAAAUGGAACUUAUUUUUGAGCAAGUUUUUGCAAAGUUUAAUAAAAAGAUAGGACGAGUUGCUUAAUAAUGCGUUAUAUUGCGAUAAUUUAUUAUCAACUUGUUCAACUGGAUACGUCAAUGGAAGAAAGAUACUAAAAGCCGAAAAAUACUCUUGACUCUAAAGAAUCCUAAAUGGAACUUAUUUUUGAGCAAGUUUUUGCAAAG
Molecule: long non-coding RNA, 461 nt
Filed under: Polistes fuscatus (common paper wasp)
Lineage: Eukaryota; Metazoa; Arthropoda; Insecta; Hymenoptera; Vespidae
Description: uncharacterized LOC122518466
Source: RNAcentral